RNAcentral lists this ribosomal RNA (216 nucleotides) under Glomeromycotina sp. Its description in RNAcentral is "partial small subunit ribosomal RNA". The stretch from base 40 to 216 matches the Rfam family "Eukaryotic small subunit ribosomal RNA", at positions 686 to 864 of the family's 1831-position model. Lineage: Eukaryota; Fungi; Glomeromycota. The record is from RNAcentral.
GGGUCAGUAGGUUGGCCGCGCCACCAGUACGUACUGGUCUCACUGAUUCCUCCUUCCUGAAGAACCGUAAUGCCAUUAAUUUGGUGUUGCGGGGAAACAGGACUGUUACUUUGAAAAAAUUAGAGUGUUUAAAGCAAGCUAACGCUUGAAUACAUUAGCAUGGAAUAAUGAAAUAGGACGAUCGAUCCUAUUUCGUUGGUUUCUAGGAUUGACGUA